This is a non-coding RNA of Pelobates cultripes (western spadefoot toad), 415 nucleotides long. The record is from the annotation of a GenBank genome assembly. Lineage: Eukaryota; Metazoa; Chordata; Amphibia; Anura; Pelobatidae.
GAUUGCUGUACGCAGUAAAAUCUGAGCUGCUCUGUAUAUCAGUCUCUGAAUGAUGUAGUAGAUAUAUAUACUCUCUGCAACCCUGUUUUCUUAUAGUAACAGUCAAAUGUUUGAAACUAUUUUAAUACUGUUCAAAGAUGGCCGUCUCCUUGCUGAAACACUAGAAGAUCUUGUAACAUAUUUUUGCUAUUCUUAGGAAGGUAUAUUAAAAAGCAACAUUGUUUCAAAUUGAUAUGUGACGAUUUUCAGAUGGCCGUUCCACUUUGAGCAAGUCCUCAAAUAAUGGAACAGGGAGAGGUAUCAUGUUAUGAGUGCCGUAAGUGUCUUUUGUCAGUAUACAGCAAUAUGAUGGCUGCCUGAGAAAAUAAGGACAAUAUGCCACAGAUUUGUGGUUAACACUCUUAAAGAAUUAGCA